Molecule: long non-coding RNA, 6528 nt
Filed under: Medicago truncatula (barrel medic)
Lineage: Eukaryota; Viridiplantae; Streptophyta; Magnoliopsida; Fabales; Fabaceae
Description: long non-coding RNA (MTRU_LNC003491)
Source: RNAcentral
GUAAAUUUGUUCAUUAUGAUAUGAGCAGCGAUGAAAACUUCAUAUCUCUAUUAGUCAAUUUCAUACCUCGACAUGAAUUUUAACAAAUAAUUUCAUUUAAUAUACGCAGGGUUUUCCAUCUUUCAUUGCUUCAGUGGUUAAACAAACAACCACCGAUUUGAUUCAUCUCCAAAGCUUAGGGUUUAAGAGAAUUGUUGUAGGUGCUUUACAACCACUUGGAUGUCUUCCUCAAACCACUGCUGAAUCCUCGUUCCAACGUUGCAAUAGUACAUUUAACGACCUCGUAGCUCUCCAUAACAACCUAUUGAACCAAUCCGUGGCCAAAUUGAACCAAGAAACCAAGGAUCACACCACCUUUACAAUUCUAGACAUUUUUGACAGUUUUGCGUCGGUGUUGAACCACCCUGCAAGCCAUAAUAUCAAGGAUCAUUUGAAGCCAUGUUGCGCGGGAGUAAGCAGUCAGUAUAAUUGUGGAAGUGUAGACGAGAAUAAUGUUAAGAAAUAUUUGGUUUGUGAAAAUCCAGAAUCAAGUUUCUUUUGGGAUGGAUUGCACCCAACACAAGCUGGAUGGAAUGCUGUAUAUAAUGAGUUGGAGAAGAAAGGUCUUCACAAUAUUUUGUACUAGAGCUAUGUAUCUUUGUGUCAUUUAUUUGCAUCAUUUUGUUUGUUGUCUAAUAAAGCACCAUUCUAUUCAUGAAUUUGUUAAGUUAUCCUUAAACUCGGCUUCUUUGUAUUAUUACAUGUCAUUUCCUUUCAAAGGAUGCAAUGUGGAAAUCGAUUAUUAUUUUUUGUUGUUGAUAUGAUACUAAUUUUGUUGAAUGCUAAAAUAGUUGUUGGAAGCAAACUGGUUGAAAAUGAUGACAAUAUCAAGCUAAAAAAGACCAAGGGUGUGUUUGGAUUGAGGGUUUAGGAGGGGAAGGGAGGGGAGGGGAGGGUUUGAUUUUCUUUUUUAAAUUACCAACUAUAUAACAUGUUUUUCUAAACGUGCUAAUCAAUGGGUUUUUGAGCGUGUGAUCCUUGGGAUGAACACACUUGGAACACCGUCCUGGAGAAAUGUUUCAACCCUUUUAUCUGAUGUUUCAAUGUGGGUUAUGAAUGAAUAUGGCACUGGAGAAUCAUGGACUAAGAUUUACAACAUCGAUGCUUCGUUCAAUCCUUCGGAAAGUCAUGUUCAACGGAGUUGUGAUUUCAAAUUGCGGGAAGAAAAGGAAGUUCUUUCUCUGUCUCAACUCUCAACAGAUUUUUUGAGACUUGAAAGUUCAUGCUUUUCAUCAUCUUAUGGUGACUUGAUAAAUAUAUCUUCCUCCUUAUCUGAUGGUGAAGAGUUUGGUGAAGAGCCGGCUUCCAAAGAAGAGUACGUCUGUUUUCGUAUUGAUUGGUAUUCUGACCCUUGCUUAUUACAAUUUUAGGUAUGUUAACUUAGACUUUGUUAUGUAAUAUUGGUGUUAUUUUAUAGGCUAAAAUAUGAUUUUGGUCCCUGCAAAUAUGCCUCGUUUUGGUUUUAGUCCCUGUAAAAAAAAAUUGUUGUUUUUGAUCCUUGCAAAAUAUUUUGUUUUUGAAAAUAGUCUCAGGGACUAUUUUCAAAACUAAAAUAUUUUGCAGGGACCUUUUUAAAAAUCAAAAGAUUUUGCAGGGGCUAUUUUUCUAAUAAAUAGGCUCAGUCAUUAUGUGACAUGUGUGCAAAUCAUCACAAAAGUGGGGUCAGGGACGAAAACCAAAACGAGACAUAUUUGCAGGGACCAAAAACAACAAAAAAAAAUUACAGAGACUAAAACCAAAACGAGGCAUAUUUGCAUGGACUAAAAUCAUAUUUUAGCCUAUUUUAUAUAGGUGUGCAAAAUUGAAUUUGCAUGAAGAAAAUGAAGAUCUUGAUGUAUAGACAAAUACCUUUGUCGUCCUGUGGUGAGGCUUUUGGUGAAGAGUACAACUGAUUAGAAGGAAUUUCCAUACAGUCCUUGAAAAGGGUUUCUGAAUCCCUAAGCCUGAAUUAUAAUGAUUUAUCUAUUUGAGUAGCUUCGAUGAAUUGAUUAGAUUUAAAUUGAAUUUCAAUUUUGGUGGCAUGGUAUUGAACCCUUUACAUCCUUCUGUCAUGUUCACUUUAAAGUUAUUUAAAUGAGUUUAAUAGAGGUGUAUUGUCAAUCUAAAACUAUAUUUCACUUUUAAAUAUGUGUUUUAAAAAUACUUGAUUGUCAUUGGUUGUCGGUGUAAAACUAGUUUACACCGACAAUGCAUAUCCCUUUUUUUAUUUAAAUUCUGAAAUAUUUUCUGAUCAUUUGCAUACAAGUAUGUGCAAGACCCUUUUGUUAUUUUUUUGUUCAGCUUUCACAAUUCUAUAUAGUCUCAUGCAAAUACAAUUUAGUUCUUAACCGCUCCCUAAAAAGGAUUUCGGAAUUUCCAAGUGUGAAAUACAGUGAACCAAUUAUUUGAUGAGCUUUGAUUGCAUUGGUUUAGAUUUAAAACUUCAACAGUUGAAUUUCAAUCUUUUGAUCAGAUUAACAUGGUUAUUUAGUGUGUAGAUUCAUUUCACCUUUAAGAUCUUCAUUUGACGUCUCAUAUCAUGCAAAUAUAUGGCUUUUAUAUUUGCAAGAAAUAAGAACAAUAAGAUUGGAUUAAAAUUAAAACAUUAAACCAAGUUGCUAGGGCUCCAGUGGCAAGGAGCUCCUUUCAAGGACGUAUCCGAGGAAUAUCGGGUUCGAUUCCCAGCGGGAACAACACUUGGUCAGUGCGCAUGCCUCUACGCAUGAGCCGGAUUAGUCGUCCACCAUUGGUGGGUCGGAAACCGGUGCGAAAGCCUAAAAAAAAUAAAAAUUAAAACAUUAAAAACUCAUAAUAAAUAGAAAGAAAUGAGAUUAUAGGAAAUCUAUCAUUGCAUUUCUCCCAUAAUCCCAAGUCAAAAGAAUACUCAAUCACAUUCAUAGUAGAUGCAACAAAAUAAAAUAAAAACAGAAGAAAAUGAAUAAAAGACUGGAUUUUAUUGAAAGUUGAAGUUGCAAGAACAUAAACUAAUUAAGAUAAAACUAAUGAGAACUAUGAGUUUGCGACUAGAAAAUGGUUCUUCUCCCCUUAUUUUCGUGGCCUGGUGUUCAUCUAGAAGUCAAAAUAAAACUAAAGGUAGUAAAAUAGCACUAAAAUGACAUCAAGAAUACUAGAGUUUCUAAUAAAAUAAAGGCAUAAAAAUAGAUAGAAAACUACCUUAUCAAUGAGCAAGAAAGUGACCGAAACUGGAGAUGCCUAAACCGUGAAAACGGGGUUGUGGGAGAGCAAUACGAGCUUCGUGCUGCUAGGUGAAGAAGUUGAAUGUUGUACCCUAGAUGGUCAAAGUCCAGUAGCCGAAAGCAUCACUAGCUUAAAGAAUAUGUUUUAUUGUUUUUGACAAAUUAAAACUUUAUCGACCCUUUCCUUUCUUUGAUGAAAAAUACCUUAAUCAUAUAGUUAGUGUUCUUGAGUUAAGUGAAUAUGUAAUAGGGUAGAUGAUAGACAUGGAGAAACAAGUACACAAUGAUUUUGAUAAUAUAGUGUUCACAAAAUAUAUAUUAUUAACAUAUAUUAGUAGUCAAAAACGUAUGUGUUACUUCUAUAUAGUAGUAACUACCACUCUACCAGACAAUCUACUAUUUUGAAUUUGCUUCUUAUGAUUUGCUCUCUGAAACACUUAAGCAAAACAUGAGUGGUAUAAAAUAUUCUCUUAUUAUUCAAAUUAUCAAAACAAUAUUUUAUAUGUUAAUUUUAUCUUAUGGACAUUUUAUUUGUAAUCCUAAUCAUACUCACAAGUGGUAUAAAAUAGACUUGGCCAUUCCAACUUUAGUGUAUUUUACUCAAGUCUUCAGCCUCCCACCGUGUUUUCACUAAGCAGCCCAAUGACAAAAUCAAAUCUUAAUUAUUCACAAAUUCAACCAUUCAAAUCCUUUUUGUAACAUAAUUCUCACAUUCCAACUGUUUGCCACGUCUUCCUCCUUUCACUAUAAAACCCUAAAUUAAUUCAUCAUGUUUUCAUAUAGUUUUCUCAAUAUCCAUAUCUAUUUCCAUUGUGCAUUCAAUUAUAUUUUACUCUCUCCUUUCUAACUUCCCAACAAAAAUCUCAAAACCUUCAUCAUUCCCAUUGCUAGUCAUCAUCAUGGACUCACAAAAGCACCUUUUCAUCCUCUCAUGUCUUUCCCUAUUACUUGUACUUCUCUCAGGUAUAUAUUACUAUGAAUUUGUUCAUUUUUUUAUGGAAACACGUUUAUGAAUUUAUGAUCAUAAAAUUUUUCAUAAACAUUUUAGGAAGCCAUGUUAAUAGUGUGAAAUAUUCACUUGUUUUGUCGAUAAAUAUUAAUAAUCAAUAUAUAUAUUCAACUUUCUAAUUAGUUUAUAAACUAAUUAAAUGUACAUCUUAUGGUUUAUUGUUAUAGGACAAAUGGAGAUGCAAGUUGAGGCCACUCGCCAUCUCAAUCAUCCUUCAAAAAAAUUGUUUGUUUUUGGAGAUUCGUAUGUUGAUACCGGCAACUCCAUAAAAACCAUAUUUGAUUCAUGGAAAGUACCUUAUGGUAUAACCUUUCCCGGAAAACCAGUUGGGAGAUUCUCCGACGGUAGAGUUUUAACCGACUUCCUUGGUAUGUGAAUUCACCCUUCCCUCUAAAAAAAAAAAAUAUGCAAGGUCCAAUGUUCGAGUAUCCUCGGAGCACGUUUUAAACAUUUCAAAUUUAAAAAUUAUUCUUUAAAAAACUAAACUAUUACAAUUUUCAAUGCAAUUUAAAUAUACACGAAAUUUUAUAAAAAACUUACGAUUUACGCUCAAAGUGUUUCGAAGACACUUGUUAACAUUUCCCUUAUUGAUAUCAUAAAACAUAGAAAAUAAAUUUUGUUUUCCAAUGGUAAAUGAAAUAGAUAUAUUUUUAUUUUAAAAAAAAACAUUGAAAUCACCACAUUAUUAGUGUUUGCUUUAUUAGUGUUCCUUACUAUUUAUUAAAUGCAUAUUUUAGUCUUCCUUUAUUAGUGUUUGCUUUCUCUUUUACUUAUAUAUGCUUCCUCUUUUAUAUUGUGCAGCCAAGUAUUUGGGAUUGAAAUCACCAAUCACUCACAAUUUAUGGAAUACUAAUACAGUGCCUAAGCAUGAUUUGAAGUAUGGGAUGAACUUUGCCUAUGGUGGUACAGGUGUAUUUGAAAUAUCUUCUACAGGACCAAAUGUGACAACACAAAUCAAUUCCUUAAUCAAACUCAUUCAAGAAAAUGUAUACACUCCCUCAGAUAUCACCAAAUCUAUAGCUUAUGUCUCUGUUGCUGGAAAUGACUACAAUUAUUAUUUGAAAACAGGAGGAGCUUUCCUGGUAAAUUAUUUAAUUUAAUCAUCAUAUUUAUUUUUUAUAUUUCUUGGAUGUAUAAUAUGAGACUCAAUAAUUAAAAAAUUACGAUGAUAAUGAUAAUUAAAAUAUAUUCCUACCGUCUUUAAUUGUAAGACCAUAUACAAAAAACAAAAAAAAAAGUUGUAUUUUUUAAAAAUAAAAAUAAAAAUUGUCUCUAGAUAUAAGACUAUUUACAAAUUUUUAGAUGCAUUUAUCACUUUUUUUUUCAAGUGAAGCCCUUAUUAAUAUUAUCAAUGUAUCAUGGAAUAUUAAAAGUUAACAAAUAAAUAUAUCUAUAUACAAAGGACUAUUUGGUAAUAGUCACAUAUAUUUAUGACAAGUUUAUUACUCCAACAAAUUUAUUAAAAAUUAGGAAUAAAUAUAUUUAUACAUCCGUUAUUUUUGUAAAAUAAUCUUAUAAAAAGGACGAGGGGAACAAAUAAUUUUUCAAUUAUUAUUGCAUAACAUUAACACAAUAUUUCAAAGUUAUAAAGAUAAAGCACUACUAUGUAACAAUUAUGAUAGAUGGAAGAUAGAAGAUAAAAUACAAGUUAGGAAAAAUGUAUUUUUGAAAAUUUAAAAAAAAAAUUGCAUUUUCAAAAUUGUAGAUCUGAAGAUGAAAACCAAAACGAAAAAUAAAACGAAUCCAAGUAUUUUUUGGUGGUGGCCUAGGGUUCGAACUCCGAACCUUGCAUGUAUUAUGCAUUGUUCUUAUCAACUGAGCUAAGCUAACAAGGACAAAAUGAAUCCACGUAAUAUGAUAAUAGAAAAAUACCAAAAAACAUAAAUCCAUAAUUUAGAAGGGUUUCUAAAAAUAAAAAAUUGCACUCAUUUUUUAUAUAUUUAUAAAUGAAUGUUAACAAAAUAAUUUCAUUGAAUAAACGCAGGGUUUCCCAUCUUUCCCAUCUUUCAUUGAAUCAGUGAUUGAACAAACAACCACCAAUUUGAUUCAUCUUCAAAGCUUAGGAUUUGAGAGAAUUGUUGUGGGUGCUUUACAACCCCUUGGUUGUCUUCCUCAAGCAACUGCUGAAACCUCAUUCCAAAGUUGCAAUAGUACAUUUAACGACCUCGUAGCUCUCCACAAUAACCUAUUGAACCAAUCUGUUACAAAGUUAAAUCAAGAAACCAAUGAUCACACCACAUUCACAAUUCUAGACAUUUUCGAUAGUUUCAAGUCAGUGUUGAAUCACCCUUCUAGCCAUAACAU